Molecule: ribosomal RNA, 191 nt
Filed under: uncultured bacterium
Lineage: Bacteria
Description: partial 16S ribosomal RNA
Rfam family: Bacterial small subunit ribosomal RNA
Source: RNAcentral
GUCUGCAACUCGACUCCAUGAAGCUGGAUUCGCUAGUAAUCGCGCAUCAGCCAUGGCGCGGUGAAUACGUUCCCGGGCCUUGUACACACCGCCCGUCAAGCCAUGGGAGUCGGGAGUGCCUGAAGUUCGUGACCGUUUAGGAGCGACCUAGGGCAAGACUGAUGACUGGGGCUAAGUCGUAACAAGGUAAC